RNAcentral lists this small RNA (415 nucleotides) under Pan troglodytes (chimpanzee). RNAcentral's name for it is "processed transcript". The record is from RNAcentral. Lineage: Eukaryota; Metazoa; Chordata; Mammalia; Primates; Hominidae.
GAAAGGACCUAGAUCUUCCCAUAGCUAAUUCCAGUGGACCAUGUUAUGGCAGAGACAGGCUUGUACCUCCCCAAGUCAUGGACCAUCCAGGUGGGUCUAGUUUCCCUGCUGGACAAUCCAGCCCCAUCCCACUUGGUGGAGAAGAUUGUCUACCACAGCAAGUACAAGCCAAAGAGGCUGGGCAAUGACAUCGCCCUCAUGAAGCUGGCCGGGCCGCUCACGUUCAAUGGUACAUCUGGGUCUCUAUGUGGUUCUGCAGCUCUUCCUUUGUUUCAAGAGGAUUUGAAAUUGCUCAUUGAAGCAUUCUUAUGUGGCUGCUUUAUAAUCCUUGUCAGAUAUUAAUAAUUCCAACUCCUGAUUCAUGUUGGUGUUGGCAUCAGUUGAUUAUCUUUUCUCAUUAAAGUUGUGAUGUUCC